This 601-nucleotide ribosomal RNA is filed under the name Bacillus sp. FJAT-4474. Its description in RNAcentral is "bacterial SSU rRNA". It matches the Rfam family "Bacterial small subunit ribosomal RNA", at positions 56 to 641 of the family's 1533-position model. Lineage: Bacteria; Bacillati; Bacillota; Bacilli; Caryophanales; Bacillaceae. The record is from RNAcentral.
UGCAGUCGAGCGAAUCGAUGGGAGCUUGCUCCCUGAGAUUAGCGGCGGACGGGUGAGUAACACGUGGGCAACCUGCCUAUAAGACUGGGAUAACUUCGGGAAACCGGAGCUAAUACCGGAUACGUUCUUUUCUCGCAUGAGAGAAGAUGGAAAGACGGUUUACGCUGUCACUUAUAGAUGGGCCCGCGGCGCAUUAGCUAGUUGGUGAGGUAAUGGCUCACCAAGGCGACGAUGCGUAGCCGACCUGAGAGGGUGAUCGGCCACACUGGGACUGAGACACGGCCCAGACUCCUACGGGAGGCAGCAGUAGGGAAUCUUCCGCAAUGGACGAAAGUCUGACGGAGCAACGCCGCGUGAACGAAGAAGGCCUUCGGGUCGUAAAGUUCUGUUGUUAGGGAAGAACAAGUACCAGAGUAACUGCUGGUACCUUGACGGUACCUAACCAGAAAGCCACGGCUAACUACGUGCCAGCAGCCGCGGUAAUACGUAGGUGGCAAGCGUUGUCCGGAAUUAUUGGGCGUAAAGCGCGCGCAGGUGGUUCCUUAAGUCUGAUGUGAAAGCCCACGGCUCAACCGUGGAGGGUCAUUGGAAACUGGGGAAC